GAGUUUGAUCAUGGCUCAGGAUGAACGCCGGCGGUGUGCCUAAUACAUGCAAGUCGUACGCACUGGCCCAACUGAUUGAUGGUGCUUGCACCUGAUUGAUGAUGGAUCACCAGUGAGUGGCGAACGGGUGAGUAACACGUAGGUAACCUGCCCCGGAGCGGGGGAUAACAUUUGGAAACAGAUGCUAAUACCGCAUAAACAACAAAAGCCACAUUAGUCUUUUUGUUUAGAAAGAUGGCUUUGGCUAUCACUCUGGGAUGGACCUGC
RNAcentral lists this ribosomal RNA (267 nucleotides) under uncultured bacterium. RNAcentral describes it as "partial 16S ribosomal RNA". It matches the Rfam family "Bacterial small subunit ribosomal RNA", at positions 9 to 234 of the family's 1533-position model. The record is from RNAcentral.